CGCGUAGGCGGCUCGGGAAGUCGGGUGUGAAAGCCCGGGGCUCAACCCCGGAACGGCAUCCGAUACUCCUGGGCUCGAGACCGGGAGAGGAGGGUGGAAUACCCAGUGUAGAGGUGAAAUUCGUAGAUAUUGGGUGGAACACCGGUGGCGAAAGCGGCUCUCUGGCCCGGAUCUGACGCUGAGGCGCGAAAGCGUGGGGAGCAAACA
This 207-nucleotide ribosomal RNA is filed under the name uncultured bacterium. Its description in RNAcentral is "partial 16S ribosomal RNA". It matches the Rfam family "Bacterial small subunit ribosomal RNA", at positions 568 to 774 of the family's 1533-position model. The record is from RNAcentral.